This 2400-nucleotide small RNA is filed under the name Pongo abelii (Sumatran orangutan). Its description in RNAcentral is "retained intron". The record is from RNAcentral. Lineage: Eukaryota; Metazoa; Chordata; Mammalia; Primates; Hominidae.
GUCUGCACUCGUUGCAGGCGACGAUGCAGAGGGCUGUAAGUGUGGUGGCCCAUCUGGGCUCUCGCCUGCAGGCAUUCUCCCCGGCCUUGUGUCGUCCAUUUAGUUGCGCACAGGAGGUGCUCCGCCGGACACCGCUGUAUGACUUCCACCUGGCCCACGGCGGGAAAAUGGUGGCGUUUGCGGGUUGGAGUCUGCCAGUGCAGUACCGGGACAGUCACACUGACUCGCACCUGCACACACGCCAGCACUGCUCGCUCUUUGACGUGUCUCAUAUGCUGCAGACCAAGAUACUUGGUAGUGACCGGGUGAAGCUGAUGGAGAGUCUAGUGGUUGGAGACAUUGCAGAGCUAAGACCAAACCAGGGGACACUGUCGCUGUUUACCAACGAGGCUGGAGGCAUCUUAGAUGACUUGAUUGUAACCAGUACUUCUGAGGGCCACCUGUAUGUGGUGUCCAACGCUGGCUGCUGGGAGAAAGAUUUGGCCCUCAUGCAGGUAUACCCCCUCUGUGUUCUAGGCACCUUGUCUUCCUUGUUCAUAGAGCAGCAUCCUUGUUAUCCAAGACAGGGUUGGCACAGACAAAGGACCUGGAAAAUGGCUCUUUCAGUGAAUGAACAGCUAUGAGACUCAAGAGCAGGCCCUCUCUGGAGCAUGCCAGGGUUUGGUGGUGGGGGAUUACCAGGCAUGGGGAGGGGGUCUUGGCCCCUCUGGUGUGAGGUGGCAGACCUGGGCUUGGGUCAUCUCUAUCACUUAGUAGCUAUGUGACCUUGUAAGAUGGGAACCAGCCUACUACCUUUUUUUCCUCCCUCCUCCUCCUCCUCUCCACUGUCUUACUACUGUCCAGCUCUGCAGCGUCCAGCCCAUGGUAGCUGCUCAGUAAGUGGCCCCAGAUGCUCUUGUGUUUCUGUCUUUUAGGACAAGGUCAGGGAGCUUCAGAACCAGGGCAGAGAUGUGGGCCUGGAGGUGUUGGAUAAUGCCCUGCUAGCUCUGCAAGGCCCCACUGCAGCCCAGGUACUACAGGCCGGCGUGGCAGAUGACCUGAGGAAACUGCCCUUCAUGACCAGUGCUGUGAUGGAGGUGUUUGGCGUGUCUGGCUGCCGUGUGACCCGCUGUGGCUACACAGGAGAGGAUGGUGUGGAGAUCUCGGUGCCGGUAGCGGGGGCAGUUCACCUGGCAACAGCUCUUCUGAAAAACCCAGAGGUGAAGCUGGCAGGGCUGGCAGCCAGGGACAGCCUGCGCCUGGAGGCAGGCCUCUGCCUGUACGGGAAUGACAUUGAUGAACACACUACACCUGUGGAGGGCAGCCUCAGUUGGACACUGGGGAAGCGCCGCCGAGCUGCUAUGGACUUCCCUGGAGCCAAAGUCAUUGUUCCCCAGCUGAAGGGCAAGGUGCAGCGGAGGCGUGUGGGGUUGAUGUGUGAGGGGGCCCCCAUGCGGGCACACAGUCCCAUCCUGAACAUGGAGGGUACCAAGAUUGGUACUGUGACUAGUGGCUGCCCCUCGCCCUCUCUGAAGAAGAAUGUGGCGAUGGGUUAUGUGCCCUGCGAGUACAGUCGUCCAGGGACAAUGCUGCUGGUAGAGGUGCGGCGGAAGCAGCAGAUGGCUGUAGUCAGCAAGAUGCCCUUUGUGCCCACAAACUACUAUACCCUCAAGUGAAGCUGGCUCAGGGUGGGGCUGUCCCUUCCAGAAGUUUUGCCCCUACAAGGGGUUAGUCAAGAAGCUGAGGCAGAACUCACUGGGGGUGGGCAGUUAAGGUGGAGGCUGAUUCUAAUUGUCUGGCUGAGGGGCCACACCACCUAUUCCCCCCACCUAACUCAUGCCACUCCAGCUUCCUUCAGGACCCUGCUUCUGAGUGACGGACCAGCUCACACAAUGUCUUGUUUCAGUCCAUGAUCCCACUGACCUACUCUUGCCUGCUGGAGGGUAAUGAGAAGCUUUGGUUCUGCCAUCUCUCCCACUCUGCCAGGUGCUGGCUGUGGAGCAAAGGCUCACCUUUGUGGGGAGGAUAAAACCUGCCCAACCUACCUCACCAUGGUUUUUCACAUUGCAAACGGUAAUAACAUGGGCAGUGUGGACUUAGGCUACCCCCUCCAGUUUGCUUUCCGUAAAUGCAAAUUGUCCCUACUGCAAGUCAGGAAUGAUUGCCGACUCACAGUAGGGCUGCUAUGCCUGUGUGUAAACUUGGGGAUGGCUGAGGGAACACAGACUCACUCUUCCGCAUUCCCAAGUUGGUCUAGUGUGCUGCCCAGUAGCAAACCAUGGCAGGCUCACCACCUAUUCUGAGCUCCAGGGCUGUUGUAGGGCAGGGUGGGCUUCCUCCCAGACUUGCCUUACCCUGGGCUGAUCUUUGCCCCUGGUAUGCAUUAAUGGACUCCACUGAAUCCUGAAAAAAAAUUAAACU